RNAcentral lists this ribosomal RNA (427 nucleotides) under uncultured bacterium. RNAcentral's name for it is "bacterial SSU rRNA". It matches the Rfam family "Bacterial small subunit ribosomal RNA", at positions 355 to 773 of the family's 1533-position model. The record is from RNAcentral.
UGGGGAAUAUUUCGCAAUGGGCGAAAGCCUGACGCAGCGACGCCGCGUGGGUGAUGAAGGCCUUCGGGUCGUAAAGCCCUGUCGGGAGGGACGAAACCUCGGUGACCUAAUACGUCACCGACCUGACGGUACCUCUUAAGGAAGCACCGGCUAACUCCGUGCCAGCAGCCGCGGUAAUACGGAGGGUGCGAGCGUUGUUCGGAUUUACUGGGCGUAAAGGGCGCGUAGGCGGCAAUUCAAGUCAGCUGUGAAAUCUCUGGGCUUAACCCGGAACGGCCAGCUGAUACUGCUUUGCUAGAGUGCGGAAGGGGCAAUCGGAAUUCUUGGUGUAGCGGUAAAAUGCGUAGAUAUCAAGAGGAACACCUGAGGUGAAGACGGGUUGCUGGGCCGACACUGACGCUGAGGCGCGAAAGGCAGGGGAGCAAAC